This 449-nucleotide ribosomal RNA is filed under the name uncultured bacterium. Its description in RNAcentral is "partial 16S ribosomal RNA". It matches the Rfam family "Bacterial small subunit ribosomal RNA", at positions 354 to 796 of the family's 1533-position model. The record is from RNAcentral.
GUGGGGAAUAUUGGACAAUGGGCGAAAGCCUGAUCCAGCCAUGCCGCGUGUGUGAAGAAGGUCUUCGGAUUGUAAAGCACUUUAAGUUGGGAGGAAGGGCAGUAAGUUAAUACCUUGCUGUUUUGACGUUACCGACAGAAUAAGCACCGGCUACUUCGUGCCAGCAGCCGCGGUAAUACGAAGGGUGCAAGCGUUAAUCGGAAUUACUGGGCGUAAAGCGCGCGUAGGUGGUUUUGUAAGUUGGAGGUGAAAUCCCCGGGCUCAACCUGGGAACUUCCUUCAAAACUGCAUGACUAGAGUACGGUAGAGGGUAGUGGAAUUUCCUGUGUAGCGGUGAAAUGCGUAGAUAUAGGAAGGAACACCAGUGGCGAAGGCGACUACCUGGACUGAUACUGACACUGAGGUGCGAAAGCGUGGGGAGCAAACAGGAUUAGAAACCCUAGUAGUCC